UGGGGUAACAAGUCAUGUGGAUAGGCAAGAAUGCAGUAAGGUUUUUUGACACUGCCUCAAAUGGCAUUUUCAUAAGUAUCCAGGGAAUUGUGGUCUGAAUCAUGGGCCUCUAACUUUGCUGGGCUUGAUGAACAAUACUGAAAAAAACCCUGCAUUGCCUUCCUUGUCAGCUUUGUUUUGAAGGUCUCAUGAGCACCCUGCUGCCCAAGAGCCUUGUCUAAGGGACCACUGACUUUCAAUGAGGCUGCUGCAAGAUGCCCUCAGUGCUGCUUGGAAAAUGACAGCCAAGAACCAGAUGUCAGCAGUUUGAUAUUGUCUGAAAGGGUUUAUCAGGUGCUGUCAGAAGAAAACAGGUGCAAAGAAAAAUGCAACUCCAGGCUCACUCCAGUUAGAGAUGUCACAUAAAUGGAGAACAUGAAAAUGAGAAAGGUUCAAGUGGCUUCUGUAACUGCCUGCUGAGGCUCUUGGAGGUGAAUGCAGUGGGCAUGUGGCAGGAUCUGCACCCGUCCUCCCUGCUCUCUGUGGUGAACUAGAUACAGCUUUUAGGUUUUAACCAUCAUCACAACUGCAGGCUGCUGUGGUUUCAGCAAAGUCAUAUAACCUCAUGCUGUGCUGACAUUAAUACAGAUCACUUCAAUUAAUAGAGAUAACUUUGCUCUCGUUGGCAAACUGUCAUUUAAACAUGGUGUGGGAGGGGGGAGAUGAAGAGCUUUCCAUUGACCUGUUUUUUGAAGAUGCUUAGACCUUUUCCCAAAGAAGGUAAAAUUGUCAUUGAUAAAUGAUGAUCUGUACGUUCCAGCAUUAAUUAUUUAAAUUCCAUUAACUUAAUAAUAGUAUGCAAUAAGUCUUCCUGCACAGCCUUUUAGUUUUCCUCCUUUUUAUUAAAUUGGUGUUUUGAUUGAUUUGGGUUAUUUUAGCAUGGAAUAAAAAUGGGGCUGAGGCCA
Molecule: long non-coding RNA, 944 nt
Filed under: Anas platyrhynchos platyrhynchos (common mallard)
Lineage: Eukaryota; Metazoa; Chordata; Aves; Anseriformes; Anatidae
Description: lncRNA (ENSAPLG00000025188.1)
Source: RNAcentral